Molecule: long non-coding RNA, 3674 nt
Organism: Brassica napus (rape)
Lineage: Eukaryota; Viridiplantae; Streptophyta; Magnoliopsida; Brassicales; Brassicaceae
Exons: 2
Source: RefSeq, a predicted model, not a curated record
CUUCUAGGUAUUGGACCGGUCUCGGUCCGGGCCUGGUUAAUGUCAAUCCACUCCAUGAUUUAUAACAUUUCAGUUAUAUAGAUUUGUUUCACUUUGAUUAAGUGUGCACAGACACCUUUGUUUGGGGUAAUUGGGCAAAGUGUUGUCAACAGCACACGUUGUUGUGUGUGAGCUGCUUCCGCUUUCCUCGUGAUGGGCCUGCCUCUCUAUAAACUAAAAUCAAACGUUUUAGGAGAUAGUUAAAAAGGCCCGGUCCAUUGAAUUAGUGUAAAGCGGCGGCACUUUUAGGGGUCUCAUGCUUGUCUAAUUUGGUUAUUAUGUCUUUGACCUUUUAGGGGUUAUGACUGACGAGCUUAGAGCAUGAUUAACCCGAAGUUUUUAGAGUGGGGUUCUUAGCGGAAGUUAAGAAACUGUUUCUUAACUUUUAACUAAAAAAGGUAAGAACUGGUUUUUAAAUAAAGACUUUAAAAAUCAGUUCUUAGUUUUUUUUUAUUUAAAAGUUAAGAAACAAGUUAAAAACACCACUUUAAGAACUCCGGAUUAAUCAUGGUAUUCGAAGUUUUCUGGAGUUGAAUCUUCCUAAGGUCAAGAAACCCAAGUUCAGCUUAGCCUAAACUCGGUUCCCACAUUUUGGAAGCCACCAAAAUCCCCUGCCAGAGCAAGGAGUUCGUUCUUGAGCUUCUCCGUGGUGUGCGUCUGCAUUUUGACAGGUUCAUCAAAGACCUCAAGGUGUCUACUCUUUUUUUUUUUUACUUUGUUUGUAUUUUUUGGCUUUACUUUGUGAGUAACUCAUGAAUGAAUCUGUUUAUUUAUUUAUUGAAUGUAGCCUGGCGAUCUGGAAAAGUCUCAACUUGGGGCAAAGGUCAAGUUCAAUGUUAACCGAGUGGAUAACAUGGUUAUUUAAGCCAUUUUCCUCCUGGACACCCCCUUUAUAAGGAUAUCAAUUCCUUUGCCAUGAGAGCCAGGUUUUUUUCAUUCAACCUUUCCCUUUCAUAUAGUCAACGAGUGGUUCUGACACACAAUUGUUUAUAAUGUUGUUCGUGGCACUUCCCCAAGCUAGUGAAGAUUGUUAAUGACAAUUAUCUUUACGCCCGUGUUUCAAAGAUGAUUGAUGACAAGUAAAAUUUGACUGAAGACCACCAAGGAGGUCGUCGAAGCUGGGAAGGGGCUUCCAUGGGUAAGUGACCAAGCUCUACGGAUUAAUUGAUUUUUGUAAUAUAUUUAUUGUUCUAAGACCUUUUUUUAUUUUCUUCCAUAUGCACCAGGCCAGGAUUUAUCACCGCUUGACUUGAUCAACGUAAAGACCUUUGCUCAGAAAGUUAUGGACAGAAAGAAGCUCUACGAUUACCUUGUUUCUAAGAUGAGCGACAUUGCCCCUAAUCUGACGGCCUUGAUUGGAGAAAUGGUCGGUGCCCGUCUGAUUUCACAUGCUGGAAGUCUCACUAACCUUGCCAAGUGCCCAUCUUCCACCCUCCAGAUUCUUGGAGCUGAGAAGGAGCGCUUUUCAGGGCUCUUAAAACACGAGGAAACACACCCAAGUAUGGGUUGAUUUUCCCUUCGUCCUUCAUUGGGCAAGCAUCUGCUAAGAACAAGGGACGUAUCGCUCCUUAUCUUGCAAACAAGUGCUCUAUAGCGUCCCGUAUUGAUUGUUUCGCUGGUAAGAAUCAGAAACUCGAGUAGGACCUGUUCGACAGAUCUGAGAGUAGGACCUGUUCGAGUUCUGAGUACUAUGCUGUGGCAUCGAGGAAACAAAAAACUCGUCAUCUUUUUGGAAACAAAGCAGAAGACGAUGCCCUGGGGAACGAGUUUCGAACGAGCUGAUGAAAGAUGGGUUGGUGGUGAUUGAUGACCAAAGCUUGGACACGCAACUAAACCUAGCAACAGAUUUCUCAGGCAGCCUUAAGUAUCUCUGUGGUCAGGUCGGUAGGAAGCGAUUGUGUUCUUUUUUCAUAGUCUGUUUUUGUCUUCUCUUGGUGCUCCAUAUUUUACUCAACACCCGUAUAUAUAUCACUAGGGCAAGCCCGCGGGAAUUUGUUCAAUUCUAUUUUUUUAAACAUUUUUGAGUUUAAAGGAUUUUAGUUUAGUUGUGUGUGGAAUGUUAAUUUUGUAAUUUUUUUAAAAAAUUGUAUUGUUCUUUUUCUUUCAACUCGUUUGUUGUAAAAUAUCCAAAGUUAGUUUUCAGUAAGGUUAACUAAAAUUUCUAAUAAAAUUGUUGCGGUUAUUAAUGAAGUGGUGCUCUAUUUUUAUUUUGUGGGUAUAAAUAUUUUAACCUGUCUGUUUCAGUAUAAGUUAUCUAAUUUCAUUAUGUUAGUUUUGUUUAUUAUCAGAUUAUUUAACAUUAUGUCUUUUGUUGGAAUAUGCAAGUAUAUAUAUUUUUAGUUUCAUAUCAGUAAUUUUUUUCUUAAAUCACAUUUAAUUAAAUAAUAACCCUAAAUUUUGUAUUCACAAUACUUAUUAACAUAUACUUAUUUUACUUUUAAAGCCAAUUUAAUGUAAUUCAAAAAUAUUUUUUAGAAAAUAGUUAUUUAACAUUGACCUCAUUAAAUGUCAUUGAUUUAUUAUAUAUUGACAUCUAUAAUUUAGUUUUAUUUAUUUAUAUUCUGAUUAUACUUAAAACUAAUAACUUAUAUAUAUAUAUAUAAUGUUAAACGUAUUAUUAAGCUAUUAAUUUUUCUAUAGCAAUAAUGGUUAAUGAUUAUAUGUCUACUUCAUAGAUCUUGUAACUACUUACAAAAAAGGGUAAUAACUUUUUACCCAAAAAAGGGUAAUAACUAUGUGACGCUUUUGAAGUUCGACAACCACCACUUCAAGAAAAUGAUCAUGUACAAAGGGCAACUAAAUUCGUCUGACAUGUUAUAUAUGAAUUUCUUCUUUAACAUUUGCACCCAAAAAAAAACGAAUUUCUUUUGGCUUUGUUUGUAUGAAUGUGUGAAUUUAGUAUUUACUGUAUAUGUUCGUAAGAAGGUUGUGUGUUUUCUGUCAAGUGUAUUGACAGAUGUAUUUUUCUUUCAGGAUUCCAUUUUUCAACGUGCAUGGAUCAUCAUGACUUUGAUCAAAAUGUUAAAGAUUUUGAUGACCUAUAAAUUAUGUGCCAUCACACAUGUAGAUAUAGUAGUCAUGGGUAUUGUGUUGAAAAUAAUAACCUUGCAAUAAUGUUUGUAUAUCCGAUAGCAACAUAUAUCGUUUGAUGUUUUAGACCCUUGAUUUAAUUGUUAAACAAUUUUAAAAAAUGGAGUAGGAGAAGUGAGAAACAAAUUAGAAAAUUUCUGAAGUAGGUUUACGGUUCUCAAAAUGCAUCGAUUGUAAUUUUUAUAUAUAAAGUUGAUCAUUACACAAACUUAGUUGGUAUAACAUACGAAAUAAAAGAUGGAAAAAAUAUAAUGGUAUGACUAUUGAUAGACUCGUGAUAACAAUUUUUUUCUGAUAAAUUCUCUUUGUGGCGCGAUUUUACUGAGCGUAAUCAAAACCUAUCUUAAACUUCUUCUUUUUGUUUAUUAGUAUAUGAUAAUUUGUUUCAGUGGGACACACUAUCAGCCACCAAGUUUCAUUAUUUUAUCCGUGAGAUAAUGUAUUCAGAAUUCAUAACUGAAACAAUGUUUUAAACUUAACCAUGUACAAAGCAAAACUAAAUUUAUAUUUCUCUAAGAUGAACUGACAUAUGUUUAACGCAGAGG